This 177-nucleotide unclassified non-coding RNA is filed under the name uncultured Russulaceae. RNAcentral describes it as "sequence contains ITS1". Lineage: Eukaryota; Fungi; Basidiomycota; Agaricomycetes; Russulales; Russulaceae. The record is from RNAcentral.
UCAUACAAUCGAGGUGCUAGGGGCUGUCGCUGACCUUCGUGCACGCCCUUGGCACUCUCUCGUAUCCAUCUCACCCCUUUGUGCAUUGCCGCGUGGGUCUCCCUUUAAUAAGGGGACUUGCGUUUUUACAUAGACACCGUUUGAAUGUAUGUGUAGAAUGUGUUAUUAUUAUCAAUA